RNAcentral lists this ribosomal RNA (776 nucleotides) under uncultured Neocallimastigales. Its description in RNAcentral is "partial large subunit ribosomal RNA". It matches the Rfam family "Eukaryotic large subunit ribosomal RNA", at positions 23 to 620 of the family's 3401-position model. Lineage: Eukaryota; Fungi; Neocallimastigomycota; Neocallimastigomycetes; Neocallimastigales. The record is from RNAcentral.
AGAGAGAGACAUGCGCGCAUAUCAAUAAGCGGAGGAAAAGAAACUAACAAGGAUUCCCUUAGUAACGGCGAGUGAAGCGGGAAGAGCUCAAAUUUGAAAUCUUCAAGGUUUUACCUUGACGAAUUGUAGUUUAAAGAAGUGUUUUCUGCUGAAGUUUUGGUAAAAGUUCUUUGGAAUAGGACAUCAUAGAGGGUGAGAAUCCCGUAUUUGACCAUUAUUUUCAGCUUUGUGAUACACUUUCAAAGAGUCGGAUUGUUUGGGAAUGCAGUCCAAAAUGGGUGGUAAAUUUCAUCUAAAGCUAAAUAUUGGCGAGAGACCGAUAGCGAACAAGUACCGUGAGGGAAAGAUGAAAAGAACUUUGAAAAGAGAGUUAAACAGUACGUGAAAUUGUCAAAAGGGAAGCGUUUGACACCAGUGUUGUUUUCUCGAAAAUCAAUUAAAAACGGCUCGAUUUUGUAUUGCUUGAGGCCUUAAAAGCUCACUGUACAUUUUUCGUGUCUUCUUUAAUGCACUUUUCGUUUAACAAGUCAACAUCAGUUUCUUUUGUUGUAAAAGGGUCAUUGGAAGGUGGCUUUCUUUUCGGAGAAAGUGUUUAUAGCCUUUGGCCUCUGCAAUCGGAAGAGACUGAGGUCUGCAGCGUAGACUCUUCGGGGUUAGAUACAUUUGUGCUAAGUUAUAGCUUUUUAUAGACAACUUGUUGACUAUAAUUAGUCUUGUAGCUUACUCGCUUAUGCUAUUUUACCUACGCUUAGGAUGUUGAAGAUGUAGCACAUCAU